This is a long non-coding RNA of Ornithorhynchus anatinus (platypus), 240 nucleotides long. RefSeq lists it as uncharacterized. NCBI's taxonomy places the organism in Eukaryota, Metazoa, Chordata, Mammalia, Monotremata, Ornithorhynchidae. The transcript is spliced from 3 exons. The record is from RefSeq and is a predicted model, not a curated record.
GCUUGGUUCUUCAGACAGUAUGACUGCACUAGGAGAAUGAUCUAUUAUUUACGUGCUAAAGAGAAACAGAAUGAUCAAGAACUGGCCGAAUAGUAUGAUGGCAUCGUGCUUUUAAAGGGUAGAGUGUGAAAAACUCUGAAGGCAUGAAAUACUAUAGCACCACCUCUUGAAAAGGAUGCUGAGAACAACUGGAUCAGGCUAGAAAAAGAAGAGGAUGGAAGGUGAGAAUAAGAGUGGACC